This is an unclassified non-coding RNA of Cercocebus atys (sooty mangabey), 316 nucleotides long. Its record names the gene 7SK. It matches the Rfam family "7SK RNA". From Rfam's summary of the family: 7SK was discovered as an abundant small nuclear RNA in the mid-70s but a possible function has only recently been suggested. Two independent studies have found that 7SK RNA binds the CDK9/cyclin T complex (known as elongation factor P-TEFb). NCBI's taxonomy places the organism in Eukaryota, Metazoa, Chordata, Mammalia, Primates, Cercopithecidae. The record is from Ensembl.
AGAUGUGAGGGCUCUCUGGCUGUGACAUGUUACCUCACUGAUCCCCAGGGUUGAUUCAGCUCAUCUGGCUGACUCGGCAGGCAUCCCCUUCCUCCCUCACUGCUCCAUGUGUGUCCCUCCCGAAGCUGCAUGCUUGGUCAGAGAGGAUGACCAUCCCUAAUAGAGGAGGACUGGUCUUGGGUCAAGGGUGUAUGAAUAUCUGCGCUCCCCUGCUAGAACCUUGGAACAAGCUCUCAAGGUCCAAAUAGUGGAAAAUGCAAGUACAGGUUGAUUCAUGUUGGCAGGUUUUGGUAUUUAAAAAAGGUAAAAAGCACAA